CUAAGGAGCAUCUGCGCAGGCGCCUCGAAGAGUCGAGUGUGACUGUGCCAGAGCCGUUUCGGACUCACAUGUAGUCCGGCGGAGCUCAUGGGUGGAACGCUGACAACCUCUCCCGCGGAUGGGAAAAGCCAAGUCUUUUCUCGCGGUGGAUAUAUCGACACACUGUUGGGUCCUGAAAGAACAGACGUUCUUUCCAGGCAAAAAACGAUCUACUCGGAUGUCGAGUGAAACCGCCGGUUCUCCGGUAGGUCCUCCGAGGAAUUCUGGGUGGGUGUGUUGCUUGAGAACUGCACAGUGGACGCGAGCAUCUUUGUUAGUAAGUGUGUAAGAGCGUAC
RNAcentral lists this unclassified non-coding RNA (336 nucleotides) under Nocardia otitidiscaviarum. Its description in RNAcentral is "16S-23S ribosomal RNA intergenic spacer". The record is from RNAcentral. Lineage: Bacteria; Bacillati; Actinomycetota; Actinomycetes; Mycobacteriales; Nocardiaceae.